This 309-nucleotide long non-coding RNA is filed under the name Mus pahari (shrew mouse). RNAcentral describes it as "lncRNA (MGP_PahariEiJ_G0005693.1)". Lineage: Eukaryota; Metazoa; Chordata; Mammalia; Rodentia; Muridae. The record is from RNAcentral.
AAAUACUAGGCAUCCAGAAGCUGAACGUGGAUCUGAUACGCUCACUAAAAUCCAGGUUGGCCUCAGACUUCAUCAGUAAUAAUUGUAGGCAUAGGACAAAAAAAAAAAAAAAAAAAAAGCACGUUUGGAAGGCUAUAUCUUCAUGACGUUGGAAAUGCUACAUGUUAGCUGCGAAUGCUGAUACAAAGUCAGAAGACAUGGCCGUCAGUGUUAGGACACUGCCUUAUUCUGCUAUUUCUCCUUGCCGACCUAUGGUUUGCAUUGUGGGUGGCAUUCAUUAACGAGGGCAGUAGAAACUUGGAGAAAACA